Molecule: ribosomal RNA, 780 nt
Filed under: uncultured cyanobacterium
Lineage: Bacteria; Bacillati; Cyanobacteriota
Description: bacterial SSU rRNA
Rfam family: Bacterial small subunit ribosomal RNA
Source: RNAcentral
GAUGAACGCUGGCGGUCUGCUUAACACACGCAAGUCGAACGCAACCUUCGGGUUGAGUGGCGGACGGGUGAGUAACGCGUGAGAAUCUGCCUUGGGGUCGGGGACAACCACUGGAAACGGUGGCUAAUACCGGAUAAGCCUUUGGGUAAAAAAUUUAUUGCCCCAAGAGGAGCUCGCGUCUGAUUAGCUAGUUGGUGAGGUAAAAGCUCACCAAGGCAGCGAUCAGUAGCUGGUCUGAGAGGACGAUCAGCCACACUGGGACUGAGACACGGCCCAGACUCCUACGGGAGGCAGCAGUGGGGAAUUUUCCGCAAUGGGCGAAAGCCUGACGGAGCAAGACCGCGUGAGGGAGGAAGGCUCUUGGGUUGUAAACCUCUUUUCUCAGGGAAGAAGCUCUGACGGUACCUGAGGAAUCAGCCUCGGCUUAACUCCGUUGCCAGCAGCCGGCGGUAAAUACGGAGGAGGCAAGCGUUAUCCGGAAUUAUUGGGCGUAAAGCGUCCGCAGGUGGCGAUUCAAGUCUGCUGUCAAAGCACGGGGCUUAACUCCGUUUAAGGCAGUGGAAACUGAAUAGCUAGAGUGCCGUAGGGUUAGAGGGAAUUCCCGGUGUAGCGGGUGAAAUGCGUAGAGAUCGGGAAGAACAUCGGUGCCGAAAGCGCUCUACUGGACGGCAACUGACACUCAGGGACGAAAGCUAGGGGAGCGAAUGGGAUUAGAUACCCCAGUAGUCCUAGCUGUAAACGAUGGAUACUAGGUGUAGCUUGUAUCGACCCGAGCUGUGC